UAACAUUUACAAGGUAUCUGUGUAAUCAGUU
RNAcentral lists this non-coding RNA (31 nucleotides) under Mus musculus (house mouse). Lineage: Eukaryota; Metazoa; Chordata; Mammalia; Rodentia; Muridae. The record is from RNAcentral.